GUACUUCUGAAGAGUCCCAGUCUAGGACGAAACAGCUGUCAAGUAC
RNAcentral lists this non-coding RNA (46 nucleotides) under Trichobilharzia regenti. Lineage: Eukaryota; Metazoa; Platyhelminthes; Trematoda; Strigeidida; Schistosomatidae. The record is from RNAcentral.